GCCCCCAUAGCUCAGUAGGAUAGAGCACAGGUUUCCUAAACCUGGUGCCAGUGGUUCGAAUCCACUUGGGGGUA
RNAcentral lists this transfer RNA (74 nucleotides) under Chitinispirillum alkaliphilum. RNAcentral's name for it is "tRNA-Arg". It matches the Rfam family "tRNA". From Rfam's summary of the family: Transfer RNA (tRNA) molecules are approximately 80 nucleotides in length. Their secondary structure includes four short double-helical elements and three loops (D, anti-codon, and T loops). Further hydrogen bonds mediate the characteristic L-shaped molecular structure. tRNAs have two regions of fundamental functional importance: the anti-codon, which is responsible for specific mRNA codon recognition, and the 3' end, to which the tRNAs corresponding amino acid is attached (by aminoacyl-tRNA synthetases). tRNAs cope with the degeneracy of the genetic code in two manners: having more than one tRNA (with a specific anti-codon) for a particular amino acid; and 'wobble' base-pairing, i.e. permitting non-standard base-pairing at the 3rd anti-codon position. The record is from RNAcentral. RNAcentral also lists the same sequence under 1 other name. Lineage: Bacteria; Pseudomonadati; Fibrobacterota; Chitinispirillia; Chitinispirillales; Chitinispirillaceae.